Molecule: long non-coding RNA, 740 nt
Organism: Quercus robur (English oak)
Lineage: Eukaryota; Viridiplantae; Streptophyta; Magnoliopsida; Fagales; Fagaceae
Exons: 2
Source: RefSeq, a predicted model, not a curated record
UGUUUUUUCAUGAUUACUAUUCCCUUUCCUUUUUUUACGCAAUUCAAAUUCCUGUCCCCCACGUUUUGAUUCAUUGUUUCAGGCUUAGUCCCUUCCCCUUCCCCACCUUUUGAUUCUCACGGUUUCAGCUUCUGUUGCACUGUUUCACUCACAGUUUCAUAUUCUUGUUCUACGGUUUCGGCUUCUAACGUCAGCCUCUCUUUCUUCUUUCCUUCCUUCCUUCCUCUCCUCACAUCUAUAUAAAUACUGACGUAAGCGGGUGGUUCAAUUGAGGUAUCCCUACAUCCCAAUUUCUUUUGUGCUCUAUUCUUUUGCUUGAUGAUUUUUUUUCCCUUUCUAUGUUUGUUUCUGGCUAGGGUGUUGAAUUUGUUUAUGCUGGGUUAUUUAAUUGGAGCACUGCUUCUUUUGGGUCAGGUACUAAUUAUUAAGGAGGUAAACGCCACCAUCUUCUCAUGAAUUACUAAGGUUCCCAAGCCAUCUAAAAUGGGUGAUUGUAGACCUAUCUAUGUUGUAACAUAAUCUAUAAAUGCAUUACUACAGUCUGGGCCAAUAGGAUUUAAGCCUUGGCUUAAGUAUAUUGAUUGGUCAGCACCAAACCACACUUGUCAUGGGAAGGAAUAUCGAAGAGAAUGUUCUCUUAAUGAAAGACACGAGGGAUGCUGUGUGCUUUAAUUGUAUAGCUCAUGGCUGUAUGAAAUGGUGGCCAUUAAAUUAGUAAAGAGUUUGUGUUUUCUUUUUUA